Molecule: ribosomal RNA, 510 nt
Filed under: Triticum aestivum (bread wheat)
Lineage: Eukaryota; Viridiplantae; Streptophyta; Magnoliopsida; Poales; Poaceae
Description: partial small subunit ribosomal RNA
Source: RNAcentral
AUGAGGAACUGCUUUGUGUCAUUGACGGUAACCGCGACGACGGUGCCCUCGACCUCUCAGUGCGAGGGCAAGAUCCUCCGGUCAGAAGGUUUCAGGCGCUUCGCCUUCAAGGAGCUCAAGAGGGCCACCAUGAACUUCUGGCCGGAUGGCUUGCUCAGUGACGGCCCCUUUGGGUCAGUGCACAAAGGCUGGGUGAACGAGGCUACCUUCGCUCCGGCUAGCUGGGGCACCGGCAUGCCCAUCAUCGUCAAGAAGCUCAACCAGGGAAGCGUCCAGGGCCACAUGGAAUGGCUGGUCGGUGCUUCUCAGUACCAAUCAAUUCCAAUUCAUUCAUCUCUUCAAUUCUGCAUAUAUGCUGAAGUGAAAUACCUUGGCCAAUUGUCGCACCCCAAUCUGGUGAAGCUCCUAGGCUACUGCAACGAAGACCGUUCUCAGUGUCUUCUUGUCUACGAGUUCAUGCCACAGGAGAGCUUGGAGAACCAUCUUUUCAGGAGGGGCUUACAUUUCUAG